UACGGAGGAUGCAAGCGUUAUCCGGAUUUACUGGGUGUAAAGGGAGCGUAGACGGAAAAGCAAGUCUGAAGUGAAAUCCCCGGGCUCAACCCGGGAACUGCUUUGGAAACUGUUUUUCUUGAGUGUCGGAGAGGUAAGCGGAAUUCCUGGUGUAGUAGUGAAAUGCGUAGAUAUCAGGAAGAACACCGGAGGCGAAGGCGGCUUACUGGACGAUAACUGACGUUGAGGCUCGAAGGCGUGGGGAGCAAAC
Molecule: ribosomal RNA, 250 nt
Filed under: uncultured prokaryote
Description: partial 16S ribosomal RNA
Rfam family: Bacterial small subunit ribosomal RNA
Source: RNAcentral